CUCUGUGACUCCUACGGGAGGCAGCAGUGGGGAAUAUUGCACAAUGGGGGAAACCCUGAUGCAGCCAUGCCGCGUGUGUGAAGAAGGCCUUCGGGUUGUAAAGCACUUUCAGUAGGGAGGAAGGUAGUGUAGUUAACACCUGCAUUAUUUGACGUUACCUACAGAAGAAGCACCGGCUAACUCCGUGCCAGCAGCCGCGGUAAUACGGAGGGUGCGAGCGUUAAUCGGAAUUACUGGGCGUAAAGCGCAUGCAGGCGGCCUGUUAAGUCAGAUGUGAAAGCCCGGGGCUUAACCUCGGAAUUGCAUUUGAAACUGGCAGGCUAGAGUCUUGUAGAGGGGGUAGAAUUUCAGGUGUAGCGGUGAAAUGCGUAGAGAUCUGAAGGAAUACCAGUGGCGAAGGCGGCCCCCUGGACAAAGACUGACGCUCAGAUGCGAAAGCGUGGGGAGCAAACAGGAUUAGAUACCCUGGUGG
This 472-nucleotide ribosomal RNA is filed under the name uncultured bacterium. RNAcentral's name for it is "bacterial SSU rRNA". It matches the Rfam family "Bacterial small subunit ribosomal RNA", at positions 328 to 793 of the family's 1533-position model. The record is from RNAcentral.